GUGCUUAACCCAUGCAAGUCGAACGGAAAGGCCCUGCUUUUGUGGGGUGCUCGAGUGGCGAACGGGUGAGUAACACGUGAGUAACCUGCCCUUGACUUUGGGAUAACUUCAGGAAACUGGGGCUAAUACCGGAUAGGAGCUCCUGCUGCAUGGUGGGGGUUGGAAAGUUUCGGCGGUUGGGGAUGGACUCGCGGCUUAUCAGCUUGUUGGUGGGGUAGUGGCUUACCAAGGCUUUGACGGGUAGCCGGCCUGAGAGGGUGACCGGCCACAUUGGGACUGAGAUACGGCCCAGACUCCUACGGGAGGCAGCAGUGGGGAAUAUUGCACAAUGGGCGGAAGCCUGAUGCAGCAACGCCGCGUGCGGGAUGACGGCCUUCGGGUUGUAAACCGCUUUCGCCUGUGACGAAGCGUGAGUGACGGUAAUGGGUAAAGAAGCACCGGCUAACUACGUGCCAGCAGCCGCGGUGAUACGUAGGGUGCGAGCGUUGUCCGGAUUUAUUGGGCGUAAAGGGCUCGUAGGUGGUUGAUCGCGUCGGAAGUGUAAUCUUGGGGCUUAACCCUGAGCGUGCUUUCGAUACGGGUUGACUUGAGGAAGGUAGGGGAGAAUGGAAUUCCUGGUGGAGCGGUGGAAUGCGCAGAUAUCAGGAGGAACACCAGUGGCGAAGGCGGUUCUCUGGGCCUUUCCUGACGCUGAGGAGCGAAAGCGUGGGGAGCGAACAGGCUUAGAUACCCUGGUAGUCCACGCUGUAAACGGUGGGUACUAGGUGUGGGGUCCAUUCCACGGGUUCCGUGCCGUAGCUAACGCUUUAAGUACCCCGCCUGGGGAGUACGGCCGCAAGGCUAAAACUCAAAGGAAUUGACGGGGCCCCGCACAAGCGGCGGAGCAUGCGGAUUAAUUCGAUGCAACGCGUAGAACCUUACCUGGGUUUGACAUGGAUCGGGAGUGCUCAGAGAUGGGUGUGCCUCUUUUGGGGUCGGUUCACAGGUGGUGCAUGGCUGUCGUCAGCUCGUGUCGUGAGAUGUUGGGUUAAGUCCCGCAACGAGCGCAACCCUUGUUCACUGUUGCCAGCACGUUAUGGUGGGGACUCAGUGGAGACCGCCGGGGUCAACUCGGAGGAAGGUGGGGAUGACGUCAAGUCAUCAUGCCCCUUAUGUCCAGGGCUUCACGCAUGCUACAAUGGCUGGUACAGAGAGUGGCGAGCCUGUGAGGGUGAGCGAAUCUCGGAAAGCCGGUCUCAGUUCGGAUUGGGGUCUGCAACUCGACCUCAUGAAGUCGGAGUCGCUAGUAAUCGCAGAUCAGCAACGCUGCGGUGAAUACGUUCCCGGGGCUUGUACACACCGCCCGUCAAGUCAUGAAAGUUGGUAACACCCGAAGCCGGUGGCCUAACCGUUGUGGGGGAGCCGUCGAAGGUGGGACUGGUGAUUAGGACUAAGU
Molecule: ribosomal RNA, 1435 nt
Filed under: uncultured organism
Description: 16S ribosomal RNA
Rfam family: Bacterial small subunit ribosomal RNA
Source: RNAcentral